RNAcentral lists this long non-coding RNA (269 nucleotides) under Gossypium raimondii (Peruvian cotton). RNAcentral's name for it is "long non-coding RNA (GRAI_LNC003823)". Lineage: Eukaryota; Viridiplantae; Streptophyta; Magnoliopsida; Malvales; Malvaceae. The record is from RNAcentral.
CCUUUUUUAAUUAGAUAUUGGUUGGGCUUUGAUUAUCUAUAUUGUGUGGGGUUGUUUCGUUUUUUUAUUUUGGGCAAACAAUGGAAGUUGUUUCAUUUUUUUUAAUAUUUUGGGUUGCUGUUUAGUUUUUUAUUUUAUUUUUUGUUAUGUGAUUGUAAACAAAUACAAAUGGAUGGUUUGAUUGUUGACAUUGCAACUAUUAAUGUUAUUUGGGAAAGAAAGAUAGUAAUCCUAACACUAAGAUUAUGACACUAUGAGAUUUAGUGUAC